GACGAACGCUGGCGGCGUGCCUAAUACAUGCAAGUAGAACGCUGAAGAGAGGAGCUUGCUCUUCUUGGAUGAGUUGCGAACGGGUGAGUAACGCGUAGGUAACCUGCCUUGUAGCGGGGGAUAACUAUUGGAAACGAUAGCUAAUACCGCAUAACAAUGGAUGACACAUGUCAUUUAUUUGAAAGGGGCAAUUGCUCCACUACAAGAUGGACCUGCGUUGUAUUAGCUAGUAGGUGAGGUAAUGGCUCACCUAGGCGACGAUACAUAGCCGACCUGAGAGGGUGAUCGGCCACACUGGGACUGAGACACGGCCCAGACUCCUACGAGAGGCAGCAGUAGGGAAUCUUCGGCAAUGGGGGCAACCCUGACCGAGCAACGCCGCGUGAGUGAAGAAGGUUUUCGGAUCGUAAAGCUCUGUUGUAAGUCAAGAACGGGUGUGAGAGUGGAAAGUUCACACUGUGACGGUAGCUUACCAGAAAGGGACGGCUAACUACGUG
RNAcentral lists this ribosomal RNA (497 nucleotides) under uncultured bacterium. Its description in RNAcentral is "partial 16S ribosomal RNA". It matches the Rfam family "Bacterial small subunit ribosomal RNA", at positions 28 to 507 of the family's 1533-position model. The record is from RNAcentral.